CAUGUUAGAUGUUCUUACUACAAUAAAAAAAGAAAAAGAUACUGAUGCACAAGAAUAACUAAAUUUUCUUCCCUCCCUUACCAAAAAGAUUCCCCACAGGAGAAGGCAGAAAACUAAUCCAUUAUUAAAGUGAAGAGAGGAGAGAGGAGCCAAGAUGGCCGAAUAGGAACAGCUCCGGUCUACAGCUCCCAGCGUGCAAGACGCAGAAGACAGGCGAUUUCUCCAUUUCCAUCUGAGAUUGUGCAAUAUAACAGAGGAACCAAGAAGAAACCUCUCACUUGACCUUCUCUGGGUAACUUCAUUCAUUGCUUCUAUUGCAUUAAAUGCUGUCACAUUUGUGGAACUGAAAAGAACAAUGUCAGUAGCCUGGGUGUCAAGUCCUGAGAAUAGAGAGCUGUCAUUUUAA
Long non-coding RNA from Pan troglodytes (chimpanzee), 406 nucleotides. RefSeq lists it as uncharacterized. The transcript has 2 exons. Lineage: Eukaryota; Metazoa; Chordata; Mammalia; Primates; Hominidae. The record is from RefSeq and is a predicted model, not a curated record.